Molecule: transfer RNA, 84 nt
Filed under: Acidobacteriota bacterium
Lineage: Bacteria; Pseudomonadati; Acidobacteriota
Description: tRNA-Leu
Rfam family: tRNA
About the family: Transfer RNA (tRNA) molecules are approximately 80 nucleotides in length. Their secondary structure includes four short double-helical elements and three loops (D, anti-codon, and T loops).
Source: RNAcentral
GCCCGGGUAGACAAACUGGCAAAGUCAGCGGACUUAAAAUCCGCCGCCCGCGAGGGCUUGUGGGUUCGAUUCCCACCCCGGGCA